Molecule: RNA transcript, 1571 nt
Organism: Ceratina calcarata
Lineage: Eukaryota; Metazoa; Arthropoda; Insecta; Hymenoptera; Apidae
Gene name: methyltransferase-like protein 9
Exons: 7
Source: RefSeq, a predicted model, not a curated record
AUCGCCAACAUGGCCACGUGCUAAACGUGUUUACGAGAAACUGUGUCAUCCUCCGUUAAUUUUUCUCGCUCGCGAUACCCGCGGAAGUGUUCAGACGCGAGAUUACGACGUCGAAGAAGCCUCACAAUGUCACACGUGCGUAUUGUCUGACAAUCGUCAACGCACUCCUCGUGGGCAUGGCCGGCGCGGAUGCACCCGUACCGAGGUGCACCUGCAACGUCGGGAACCUGGCUACCUGUUCUGCUGUCAACGAGGGUGCACCCACCAACCGAGCCAUGAGAAGUUACAGGCCGCACGGAAGCCUCGCCAGAGUACUGUACGACAAGCAGAGAGCCGAUGAACAACUGGAAGCUUACGACAAGACUCAGUGGUACACGGUUGAAAAGACGAAGAUUCGUGAGGACUUACUCCGUUUGUGGGUACCACUUGGAGCAGGAGCCCAGCAUGAUCAGCCCGACAAGACCGCCGAGGUGUUUCUAAUGAAAUCCAUCGAGAGAUCGGAUUCAUUACCGUUGCAGGCCUGGCAUUCGUUGGCGAGAUCCGCUUUAUCCUGGUUCAUCAGCCGCACUUCUAUAAAUGGGCUACUCGGCCGUGGUUCCAUGCACGUCUUCUCCUGCGAACAGUUUCAGAAGUUGAUGAAUGUGAGCGGUUUUUCGGGGCCGUGGCACUCGUUGGUGGAUCUAGGAGCUGGCGAUGGUGCCACCACCGCGCACGUUGCUAAUCUCUUCGAAAACGUUUACGCUACGGAUAUAUCAGCCCCGAUGAGAUGGGCUCUGGCGAAAAGGAAAUUCACGGUGCUCGAUGUGGAAAAAUGGCACGAGACAGGUCCGUACAAUGUAAUCCUCUGCCUGAACCUGUUGGAUCGCUGCGAUCGGCCUAACACCUUGCUACGGCAUCUGAAAUCGUGUUUGGCUCCAGGUGGCCGGCUGGUUGUAGCGUUGGUCCUUCCGUUCAGCCCCUACGUCGAGGUCGGCGAGAGGGGUGAUCACAAGCCAUCGGAGUACCUGCCGGUAAAGGGGAACGGGCUGGAAGGUCAAAUCGCCAGCAUCGUCGACAGAGUUUUCGCGCCGUUGGGUCUGAGAUGCCUCGUGUGGAGCAAACUGCCGUAUCUGUGCGAGGGUGAUCUCGGCCAGGCGUAUUACUUCCUCGACGAUGUAGUGUUCGUUCUAGAGGCACAGCCCGAAAGCUCGCGAUACUCGGCCUCCGAAUGGACGGACACGGGUCCGACUGGACAGGGCGCGGAGCGAGGACAGGCUACUGAUGGUCACGUUCAACAGGAAUACAAUACAGAUGCCAAACGUUGCACAAUUUGUAACAUUCUGUGCGCCCAAUGUGGAUAAAGCCCGUUAACAGAAACCACGACCUGUGCCACUGCUUUGUCCUAAUAUCAAGCGUAAUCAGAAAACACUGCACAGUAACCGUAGAAUCGUUUUGCCCCUAACAUUAUCAGCAGACAGAUGAAAUUUAACCUGACACUUGAUACAGGAAUAUGCGGAGGUGGCAGGAAACUUCUUAGCGACUGUACAAGCUGUAUCGUAUCCACCAACGCUGCGAACAAAGCCAACGAGAAA